Molecule: ribosomal RNA, 232 nt
Filed under: uncultured bacterium
Lineage: Bacteria
Description: partial 16S ribosomal RNA
Rfam family: Bacterial small subunit ribosomal RNA
Source: RNAcentral
CGGACGGGUGAGUAAUGUCUGGGAAACUGCCUGAUGGAGGGGGGUAACUACUGGAAACGGUAGCUAAUACCGCAUAACGUCGCAAGACCAAAGAGGGGGACCUUCGGGCCUCUUGCCAUCGGAUGUGCCCAGAUGGGAUUAGCUAGUAGGUGGGGUAACGGCUCACCUAGGCGACGAUCCCUAGCUGGUCUGAGGGGAUGACCAGCCACACUGGAACUGAGACACGGUCCAG